UUUCCAUUGUCACAUCGACGGUGGAAGACAGGUGAGCAAUGGUUUCAUAGGAUUUCUACAUGUUCUAGUGGUUACAAUAAUGUAAAAGAAAGUCAUAUAUAUUUUACUCUUCAUUGGAUCACAUAAGUUCAUAGGAAUUUGGUCGAAGUUCUAUCGCCAUUUCAUUCCGAUCUUUUUUUAUAUAUAUUUCAGUGACGUUUUGUGGUUGCUUAACCAUUGCAAAUUUAUUACAAACGUAGACGCGGCACCAAAAAGUUCCAUCGGAUAUGGAUUUUGCGUUUUCACGUUAGAGGCACUGACUGUCGUGGAGAAAAACAUCCAAGAUACCUUUUCAGAAAACGGGAACCACCCUUUGGUAAAGCUCGUAGCUAACGAAAAGCUGAAAUCAGCUUACAAGAAGAACAAAAGACUAGUUUCAUCGUAUACAGAAUCCGUCCUCGUCAAGGGAGCGUGUUCAGUGAUCAUGCAAGAGGUAAAGAGUAUGGUCUUUGAUUAUUUUUUGUAACAAGUAUUAUCUUACAAUAAUAUAUACGUUUUCAAAACAUGAUUUUAUUUAUAAGAGUGCGUAACAUUUUGUUCAUUUUGUGCACAACCACAUUUUAUUCACGAAAGUAUAAACUUGCGCUGUGUUUGUGUAAAUUUAAUUCGUCAAAUGUAAAUAUUUUAAAUGUUAAUGGGAAGAACAAAUUCUUAAAAUGUACAAUAUCUCCAUAUAACAUGCCUGUUAGACUGUCAAUAGACAUAGAAUCCCGUUUUAUUUUUUACGCGGUUUUUUUAAAGGCGAGUCCGAACAAUAUAAAUAGUAAAGGCAAAAAUUUAAAGUUAUAUAAUUAAUUGAAAAAAGUAUAUCGGUUUCGAAUGUCAUAAAUAAUUAUUUUCUUCUUUGGUGUCAAAGUAAACUACAUAUUCGUACAGAAAAUAUUUCACAGUACAUGUAUGUAAAAUUUGUUAAAUAUUCUCAUAAUCGUUUGUUUCAUAUCAUAAAACUGCACGCGACUGGAUGUAGUUAUAAAGAGGCCACAGAGGCUCUGCAACGAACGGUGGCCAAAAGUAUUUUCACAGCAUAUAGCCUGGCAACAACUCACCGCUCGAGCAUAAAAGAAUAUUGAUCAAGCGCCCUAGCAGAUAGACGUAAAGCCUGGUGAACACAAAGACGCUAACAUCCUGCAGAAAAGUUCAACAUGGCUGACAACACCGUACGGUCGGAAGAUGUGUAAGGACAAAAGUGGGAUCGUUGCAUUACAGACACCGGUUUACUGUUAACUGUUGAGUUAUCGAUCCGGACAGAACUUAAGUGUGCACCACUGCAGUAUGAUGACAUUUAAGUUUUAUAGACUUUCAUGCAAUAGUUACUGUCACACAGCUCCGGACAUUGAAAGUGGAAGGACGGAGAACCACACAGAAACAAUAUCGGCGAAUGAUGAUGUAUAUUUGUUUUAAGUUUCGUGAAAUAGGUACUGUGAAAUAGCUCCGGACGUACAACCUUCCUGAAUUUCAAUCUAUUAAGGGGCAAUAAAUUAAUAACGCGUGCACCGCAGUAUGAUUGAACACAUUCAUAUUAAGUUUAAUGAAAUUUAAUAAAUAAUUAUUGAUAAACACCUCCGGACAUCGCCAAAAUAAUAUUCCUUCACUGUCUUAGAGGGGUAAAAAGCCAUCAUAAUGGAGGUGUCAUUUUGUCUACUUACAAGAGUUGGCGCAUUCGGAUUAAAUGCGUAUUCUACAUGCAAUAAUAAAUGCAUGCAAAAAUAAAUAUCUUUCUUGCAACAAGCGUUAAUCUACUGCAAAUCUUAGCAAAACAUUUGCAAACGUAUGUGCGUGUGUAUAGUGACGCAAUCAUACGUUUUUCCAUAGGUAAUUUGUUUCUUAAUGACAAUAUGUUUAUAUUUGAUUAAUAAAAUACCUGGAUAUUAUAUGAAUAUGUCAGUUUCUGUUCCGAAUCGCCCCCGUGCUUCUUUCUAGCAGCACCAUGUACCUUUUGGGAUCCAAGAUCUUACCCUGUAUUAUACAUACGUACGUGGUCCUUUAUUCAUGGCAGGUGAUGAAUUGCCAAAACAGAACGGCACAAAACGAAACAAAAUACAAAAAGAGUACAAUAAAGCCGGUGUCACCGCUUUGGAACGGUCAAUGUUAACUACUGGGCAGGUUAAACAGGUUAAUGAGCGCUCAAACUCAUACGUGAAUCAGGAAUAUUCAUUAUACAUACAAGUGUAAAAUAUAGUACUCUUACAUUGUAUUAUAUUUAUGGCUAUAUGGUUGAUAAGAGCGCCUAUGUCUUUUGACUAAAUCU
This is a long non-coding RNA of Dreissena polymorpha, 2287 nucleotides long. RefSeq lists it as uncharacterized. The record is from RefSeq and is a predicted model, not a curated record. The transcript has 6 exons. NCBI's taxonomy places the organism in Eukaryota, Metazoa, Mollusca, Bivalvia, Myida, Dreissenidae.